This 103-nucleotide small nucleolar RNA is filed under the name Catagonus wagneri (Chacoan peccary). RNAcentral's name for it is "Small nucleolar RNA U13 (ENSCWAG00000019155.1)". It matches the Rfam family "Small nucleolar RNA U13". Lineage: Eukaryota; Metazoa; Chordata; Mammalia; Artiodactyla; Tayassuidae. The record is from Rfam by way of RNAcentral.
AUCCUUUUGUAGUUCAUGAGCGUGAUGGUUGGGUGUUCACGCAGCUGCACGACGUGUGCCCUUUCAACUCUUGUUACGACAGCGGCACAUUACCCGUCUGACG